CUCAUACUCCCUCCGUCCCAAAANNNUUGUCUUAGCUUUGUCUAGAAAUGAAUGUAUCUAAAUACUAAAACUUGACUAGACACAUUCGUAUCUAAACAAAUCUAAGACAAGAAUUUCGGGA
Hordeum vulgare subsp. vulgare (domesticated barley) is the source of this 121-nucleotide non-coding RNA. Lineage: Eukaryota; Viridiplantae; Streptophyta; Magnoliopsida; Poales; Poaceae. The record is from Rfam.